GACGAACGCUGGCGGCGUGCCUAAUACAUGCAAGUUGAGCGCUGAAGGUUGGUACUUGUACCAACUGGAUGAGCAGCGAACGGGUGAGUAACGCGUGGGGAAUCUGCCUUUGAGCGGGGGACAACAUUUGGAAACGAAUGCUAAUACCGCAUAAAAACUUUAAACACAAGUUUUAAGUUUGAAAGAUGCAAUUGCAUCACUCAAAGAUGAUCCCGCGUUGUAUUAGCUAGUUGGUGAGGUAAAGGCUCACCAAGGCGAUGAUACAUAGCCGACCUGAGAGGGUGAUAGGCCACAUUGGGACUGAGACACGGCCAAAACUCCUACGGGAGGCAGCAGUAGGGAAUCUUCGGCAAUGGACGAAAGUCUGACCGAGCAACGCCGCGUGAGUGAAGAAGGGUUUCGGAUCGUAAAACUCUGUUGGUAGAGAAGAACGUUGGUGAGAGUGGAAAGCUCAUCAAGUGACGGUAACUACCCAGAAAGGGACGGCUAACUACGUG
Molecule: ribosomal RNA, 497 nt
Filed under: uncultured bacterium
Lineage: Bacteria
Description: partial 16S ribosomal RNA
Rfam family: Bacterial small subunit ribosomal RNA
Source: RNAcentral